Molecule: long non-coding RNA, 739 nt
Organism: Acinonyx jubatus (cheetah)
Lineage: Eukaryota; Metazoa; Chordata; Mammalia; Carnivora; Felidae
Exons: 4
Source: RefSeq, a predicted model, not a curated record
UCUUCUUCUCUCCCUCUCCUUCUCUCCCCACUUUUUCUCCUCUCUAGGGAUACGACAAGAAGACAGGAAGAGAGUCCUCACCAACCCAAGCAGACUGGCACCCUGAUCUCAGACUUCCAGCCCCCAGAACUGUGAGACAUAAAUGCCUGUUGUUUAAGCCCCCCCGGUCUGUGGCAUUUUGUCACAGCAGCCCGAGCAGACGAAGACAUGGCCCGGGUCAUGGUUUGAAAUCCUGGAAGUCAGUCCGAAGAAAAAUUUGAAAUAGGUCGCCUUUCACCCAUACCUCUUCCCUGGUGGGGCAAGUGCUGACUGGCGCGUCAGGCCGGAGGGAGGCUGGGGAGGGAAGGGGUGACUAAGAGGACAGGGGUUUCUUCUGUCUUCGCGUGAACAAGCCCACCACCACAGAGGUCGUGCUGGUGCCCGAGGAGGCUCACCGAGUAGGAAAUGCUUCCGGAGCUCCUCCCCCAGUAGAAGCGGUAGCUGAGCCAGAACAGCCGUGUUAGACCGUGAAGAGAGGUCACACACGACGGGGCCAUAAGACUGUAGGCUCCAUGAGGGCAGGGACCAUGGCUGGACAGUGAAUCCCCAAGGCCCAAGCCAGUGCCAUCCACACAGCAGGCACCCAGCCUCUUGGAACUUACACCAUAAGUUACAAGGAUGAAGCCAUCCUGCUGCUGUUAUGCCACUGGGCAGUCAUUUCCUGGUUAGUCUGGCUCCAUCAGUGGUCUUCUGGUUGUGC